UUGUCAUGUAGAUUAUGAAUAAUAAAAAAUAUCCGAUAUACUAGCAUUUUUUUUAGAUACAAAAUAAACACCAGUGAAAUCAAAUUCAUUCAUUCGUCUAAUAAAAUGUUAGUAUAUAAAAUAGAAUUUUCUUGUAUUCUUUUUCAUGUGGAUGAAGUGUUUUUGCAAUCACAAGUCGUAAAGUGAUAUAUUAAAUUUAUUAUAAAAGGUUAUUGUGAGAUUGCUUGCAUCUUCUCUUUUUUUCAUAAAAUUUCAUUCAUUGUAAUUAGAAAUGUCUUUCAUAAAAAGCUUGAAAUAUAAAUCUUGUAUUAUGUAGCUUUGGUGCUGGAUAACUAAAACAGUGAGCAUGUGAUUUCCAAUAUAAAGAAAUUAAAAUGAUCCAAAAAUAGAAAUAAUAAUUUAAAAAUCAACUAUCAUUUUGAAGCAUCUCAAAA
Molecule: long non-coding RNA, 434 nt
Filed under: Physcomitrium patens
Lineage: Eukaryota; Viridiplantae; Streptophyta; Bryopsida; Funariales; Funariaceae
Description: long non-coding RNA (PPAT_LNC011796)
Source: RNAcentral